UAUGAUUCUUGUGUAUAAUUGUGUUCUUAG
Molecule: non-coding RNA, 30 nt
Filed under: Cricetulus griseus (Chinese hamster)
Lineage: Eukaryota; Metazoa; Chordata; Mammalia; Rodentia; Cricetidae
Source: RNAcentral